This 388-nucleotide ribosomal RNA is filed under the name uncultured bacterium. Its description in RNAcentral is "partial 16S ribosomal RNA". It matches the Rfam family "Bacterial small subunit ribosomal RNA", at positions 338 to 723 of the family's 1533-position model. The record is from RNAcentral.
CCUACGGGAGGCAGCAGUGAGGAAUAUUGGUCAAUGGGCGCGAGCCUGAACCAGCCAAGUAGCGUGAAGGAUGACUGCCCUACGGGUUGUAAACUUCUUUUAUAAAGGAAUAAAGUGAGGCACGUGUGCCUCUUUGUAUGUAUUUUAUGAAUAAGGAUCGGCUAACUCGGUGUCACCGGCCGCGGUAAUACGGGGGAUCCGAGGGUUAUCCGGAUUUAUUGGGUUUAAGGGGAGCGUAGAUGGGUUUUUAAGUAAGUUGUGAAAGUGUGCGGAUCAACCGUGGAAUUGAAAUUGAAACUGGACGCAUUGAGUACAGAUAGGGAAGGGGGAAUUCGUGGUGUAGCGGGGAAAGGCUUAGAUAUCAUGAAGAACUCCGAUCGAGAAGGAA